Gossypium arboreum is the source of this 115-nucleotide non-coding RNA. The record is from Rfam. Lineage: Eukaryota; Viridiplantae; Streptophyta; Magnoliopsida; Malvales; Malvaceae.
UGUUAAAAAUUUCAUCCAUUUCUACUAUUAAAAGUUGGUGUGGUAUAUCAUGUGUACUUGAUACUAACGUACAAGGACUAGUUUUUAAUAGUAAAAAUGGAUAGAAUUUUUAACA